GCAUAAUCAUUAGUCUUUUAAUUGAGGGCUGGAAUGAAUGGUUUGACGAAAUAUUAACUGUCUCUUUAUAAUAAGUAGAAUUUAACUUUUGAGUCAAAAGGCUUAAAUGAAUAUAAAAGACGAGAAGACCCUAUAGAUCUUUAUACAUGAGUGUAUUUAUUUUGUUUAGAUGGAAUUUUUUAUAGAUAUAUUAUUGUAUUCUGUUGGGGUGACAUAAAGAUAAAAGUAACUCUUUAUUAUUAAUACAUUGAUUUAUGAACAAUUGAUCCGUUAUUAACGAUUACAAGAAAAAGUUACCUUAGGGAUAACAGCGUAAUUUUUUUUGAGAGUUCUUAUCGACAAAAAAGAUUGCGACCUCGA
RNAcentral lists this ribosomal RNA (360 nucleotides) under Parapholidoptera bolkarensis. RNAcentral describes it as "partial 16S ribosomal RNA". It matches the Rfam family "Archaeal large subunit ribosomal RNA", at positions 2036 to 2598 of the family's 2987-position model. Lineage: Eukaryota; Metazoa; Arthropoda; Insecta; Orthoptera; Tettigoniidae. The record is from RNAcentral.